RNAcentral lists this ribosomal RNA (263 nucleotides) under uncultured Leptotrichia sp. Its description in RNAcentral is "partial 16S ribosomal RNA". It matches the Rfam family "Bacterial small subunit ribosomal RNA", at positions 93 to 355 of the family's 1533-position model. Lineage: Bacteria; Fusobacteriati; Fusobacteriota; Fusobacteriia; Fusobacteriales; Leptotrichiaceae. The record is from RNAcentral.
GAUGGCGGAACGGGUGAGUAACGCGUAAGAAACUUGCCCUUUAGACUGGGAUAACANAGGGAAACUUCUGAUAAUACUGGAUAAGUUAGUAUAAUCGCAUGAUAUGCAAAUGAAAGCUACGGCACUAAAGGAGAGCUUUGCGUCCUAUUAGCUAGUUGGUAAGGUAAGAGCUUACCAAGGCGAUGAUAGGUAGCCGGCCUGAGAGGGUGGACGGCCACAAGGGGACUGAGAUACGGCCCUUACUCCUACGGGAGGCAGCAGUA